GACGAACGCUGGCGGCGUGCUUAACACAUGCAAGUCGAACGGACAGGCCCUGCUUUUGUGGGGUGCUCGAGUGGCGAACGGGUGAGUAACACGUGAGUAACCUGCCCUUGACUUUGGGAUAACUUCAGGAAACUGGGGCUAAUACCGGAUAGGAGCUCCUGCUGCAUGGUGGGGGUUGGAAAGUUUCGGCGGUUGGGGAUGGACUCGCGGCUUAUCAGCUUGUUGGUGUGGUAGUGGCUUACCAAGGCUUUGACGGGUAGCCGGCCUGAGAGGGUGACCGGCCACAUUGGGACUGAGAUACGGACCAGACUCCUACGGGAGGCAGUAGUGGGGAAUAUGGCACAAUGGGCGGAAGCCUGAUGCAGCAACGCCGCGUGCGGGAUGACGGCCUUCGGGUUGUAAACCGCUUUGGCCGGUGACGAAGCGUGAGUGACGGUAAUGGGUAAAGAAGCAACGGCUAACUACGUG
This 468-nucleotide ribosomal RNA is filed under the name uncultured bacterium. RNAcentral describes it as "partial 16S ribosomal RNA". It matches the Rfam family "Bacterial small subunit ribosomal RNA", at positions 28 to 507 of the family's 1533-position model. The record is from RNAcentral.